UGGAGGUGAAGCAACAACCUCACAACCACUGAAUACAGAAACUGAACGUUAAGGAUGGAGAAGUUGGAAGUGAAAAGGAGAUUGAGUUCUUAACUUUUUUUUUUUUUUAAGUAGCUAGAGCUGCUAUUAUCUAUUUAUGGACUUCAUGUUAUACAAGAAAAAAACUUCUAUUUGCUGAAGCCACUGAGGUCAACCUUCUUUUAUACGCAGCUGAACACGACACAAACUGAGGGUCUACAUCUUUGACCCUUUUUGAUCUUUGGUCUGUGAUUACAGCAGAAAUAGCCCUCUUCCCACAGAAUUUAUGUUAAUUUAGAUCUUUUUUCCAUGUUCCAUGGGACCAACAAGGAGAUAGAACCAUUUUAGCAAUUUGAACAAAGAAAAUGUAAUGUAAAGAUUGUUAACCAAUAAAAGGUAUCCACUAAGAAGAAUAGAGUGAUUUCUAAGAGGUGCAGAAGUAGCAACUGUCGGAAGAGCUACUACCCUUGGCUAAGGAUGAGUGAACAGAAAGGAAGAACUUAGAAAUUUAAAGAAGAGGGCAUGGCUGUCACAGGAAUGUAUAGUCCCCCUGUUUUGAAGAAACUUGCUAGAGGUACC
This is a long non-coding RNA of Lontra canadensis (Northern American river otter), 597 nucleotides long. RefSeq lists it as uncharacterized. The record is from RefSeq and is a predicted model, not a curated record. The transcript is spliced from 3 exons. Lineage: Eukaryota; Metazoa; Chordata; Mammalia; Carnivora; Mustelidae.